UACGAAGGGGGCUAGCGUUGCUCGGAAUUACUGGGCGUAAAGCGUGCGCAGGCGGUUAUGCAAGACAGGUGUGAAAUCCCCGGGCUCAACCUGGGAACUGCAUUUGUGACUGCAUAGCUAGAGUGCGGCAGAGGGAGAUGGAAUUUCGCGUGUAGCAGUGAAAUGCGUAGAUAUGCGGAGGAACACCUAUGGCGAAGGCAAUCUCCUGGGCCUGCACUGACGCUCAUGCACGAAAGCGUGGGGAGCAAACAGG
RNAcentral lists this ribosomal RNA (253 nucleotides) under uncultured bacterium. RNAcentral describes it as "partial 16S ribosomal RNA". It matches the Rfam family "Bacterial small subunit ribosomal RNA", at positions 524 to 776 of the family's 1533-position model. The record is from RNAcentral.